ACAGGUUCACGUAAGAAUCAGGCAAUAUCGAAAUUUUGUGAUAAGUGAUAAGACGCAAAAUAAAACAAAAUUUUACCCAGCAAGAAACUGGGAUGUUUAGAAUGUAUAUGCCAAAUUAUUCUGAAAUAUUCCGUUUCGUUUUUGAAUACGGGCCCGAUAUAUUGACAGGGCGCUCAAUUUUGACGCCGUGCAAGUCUUAGUAAAAUAGCAUACAUUUUUAUCAAAUUACUAAAAACAGCAAACCUUACGAGAAAAUUUGAUUAUAAAUAGUUACUAAACUCACUCAGCUUAAUGAUUUCCAAUUUUAAAAAGUAUUGAAAAGUUUGAGUUUCGAGUUUAAAUUGCCGUUAAAAUUAGCAAAUUCGAGUGAAAUCUGGUUGUCUUUCUUGGUUGAUUCACAAUAUCGUCGCUAGAUGGCGCCUCGUUGCUACGUACGCUAGUGCGCGAAAAUGGAAGUUCGAGAAGACUACACGGUUUCGGGACACUACGCAAACAGUUUCACAAGUCUGUAUAAAGCCGAUCCAGAAUAAACAACUCCAGUGACCCUUUGUAAUUGUUGCAGAGACAUAACAAUACAUCUGCAAGGUUUAAAACUUAGUGAUGGCCGACAAACAACCUGUCAACCCAGCCGCGGACAGCGAAGGAAGUCAUACCCCAAAGAAUCACAUUAUAUACAGGACUCAGAACUUUGACAAUCAUAGACCCUGUCAUAACAUUAAACUGAACUGAUGAGGCAGAAUAUAUCUUACAGAAUGUUUCAACAAGCGAAAAGUCGAAGAAUGUGUUGACCCAGUGCUUAAUCUGAUUGCACCAGGGCAAUCAGAGAAAUUAAAACAAUUGAUUAUGUUAGGACCUAAAUCAACUCCAACAGAUAAAGAGCUGACAAACUACAUGUAUAUGAGGAAAUAACUAACAUUGAACUUCACACUCAAAUUUGUUCAAUGUCAAAAAACUAUGUUAUAUAUAACAGUAAUAAGAUGUACAUGUAUAACUAAUUUAUGUAGAAGAUAAGUGCAUAUAUGUAUGUCCCUUUCUCACUGAUUGUCCAUUAUACAUGUAUAGAAAGAAUAAAGAAAUUUUAUAUCUCAUUACUUCAAGAAAAAUUAUGUGUAAUUAGCAUUAAUUUAGCUGCAUGGUUAAUAACCAAGGAAGACAGAACAAUAACUAAUGAUUAAGUUAAUUGAAUUUCUAAUAUAAAAAAAGAAUCUCAGAAUGCUAUGAUAUUUAUACUAUGUACUUAUCAUGAUAUAUCAUGAUUUCAUCUUUAAUUACUAAUAUUUGUAUUUAUGUAAUUACCAUGAUGGUAGCUACAUUAUUUGGACUACAUUAACAGUGUUUUCCCCAGAAAAUUUUUGAUGCAUGGGGGGAAAUUUGUCAGAGUAGGUGCACGGUGCAGCGUUAAGGGCCAACACCGGGGCAAAAUCACUUCGGGUAAAAAUAAUAUAACCAUCUGAUGAAAUGUACUGCAUGAUAUGCACUAUAAUUAAUGCAUUUUCAUGAAAUUCAUAUUUUGUAUUUAUGUAAUUACCAUGAUGGUAGCUACAUUUUUGGACUACAUUUACAUGUACAUGUAUAUAGGAAUAUUCUAAUAGCAUAAAUUUGUAUACACAGCAUUUACCCAACUGCUGCACAUUCAUAUAAAUGUAUGCACUAUUUUUAUUCCCCCUUCGAAGAAGGUAUGGCAUAUCACUUUGCUGCUGUGCGUCUCUCUCUCUGUCUGUCUGUUGGUCGGACGGCUAGUCCACCAACAGUUACCAUUCAUUUUCUUCGCAGGGGUUCCACAUUUUGAAAUGAAAUAUGGUAUUCAGAUUUAACUGAAUAAGAUCUAGGCAAAGUUAUUUUUUGGGUAUGAUUGAGCAAUUUUUGACCUUGGAAUUAAAAAAAAUUCCAAUUAUUUGCAUUUUCUUCUCAGAUGUUUCCAAAGGAGGGGGCAUAAUUGUUUCACAAACAUGUCUUGUUUGUGUGCAAUUGUUCACUUAGGAUUUUCUUGUUAAAAAAUUCUAAACUUUUAGCCUUUCCAGGGUCCAAAUUGAGGGAAAAAAAUCAAUAUGUAAUCUAUUGGUUGAUGUUUGAUAUAGCCAUCUAUAGUAUGUGUGAUACAUUUUGACAUGUAUGGUGUCAUGUACUGUGGUUUCAUUAAUAUUCAAGGGUAUCAAUUUUAGUGGAUAAAGUGAAAAUCAUAGUUUCAAGGAUACGUAAAUUCGUGGCCAAUGACCCUAUCAAUACAAAAUGUUAAUAGAAAUUGCAUUUCAAUGAACGUUUAAUUUCGUGGAUCAACUUAAAAACGAAAUCCUUGAAAAUUGGUAUUCACCGAAUAUUGAUGAAACCACAGUAUAUCGAGUUAUUCAUGUACAACUUGCUUAAGUUAUUAUAUGUAUGACUGGAAGUCAGUUUAAUAAAGUACUUGUUAUGGU
Long non-coding RNA from Magallana angulata, 2414 nucleotides. RefSeq lists it as uncharacterized. The transcript has 2 exons. The record is from RefSeq and is a predicted model, not a curated record. Lineage: Eukaryota; Metazoa; Mollusca; Bivalvia; Ostreida; Ostreidae.